UGGCGGCAUGCCUAACACAUGCAAGUCGAACGGCUCUUCGGAGCAGUGGCGCACGGGUGAGUAACGCGUGGGAAUCUACCCUGAGGUUCGGAAUAACGGUUGGGAACGACCGCUAAUACCGGAUAUGCCCUAUGGGGCAAAGGCUUGCCGCCUUGGGAGGAGCCCGCGUCCGAUUAGCUUGUUGGUGGGGUAACGGCCUACCAAGGCGACGAUCGGUAGCUGGUCUGAGAGGAUGAUCAGCCACACUGGGACUGAGACACGGCCCAGACUCC
Molecule: ribosomal RNA, 272 nt
Filed under: uncultured bacterium
Lineage: Bacteria
Description: partial 16S ribosomal RNA
Rfam family: Bacterial small subunit ribosomal RNA
Source: RNAcentral